GGUUUCUGCACCAUCAGGAAGUUCUGACUCUGGACACUUCUGUGCUGACCUCAGUACUCUGCAUUUAACCACGGGCUCCAGCAGUAAAGCACAGAAAGGCGAGUGCACCGAUGCGCCUGGUAGGAGAGCCACGCCCGUGCGGUGUGAGGUUCCAUGGGCCGUCAGCGUCUGCUUGCAGUGUGUGCAGACCCAGUCUUCCUGCCUCGACGUGAGUGGUAGAUGAUGUGAGCAGGGGCAUUGCCACAGAGGAG
This 251-nucleotide long non-coding RNA is filed under the name Fukomys damarensis (Damara mole-rat). RNAcentral's name for it is "lncRNA (ENSFDAG00000026714.1)". Lineage: Eukaryota; Metazoa; Chordata; Mammalia; Rodentia; Bathyergidae. The record is from RNAcentral.